AAAUAUUUUGUCACGCAAGGUUUUUAACUUUUUAUUUUAUUACUUCUUUAAUAUUAAUUUAAUUGUAUUAAUUUUUUUGAAUUUUGACUUUUUAAUUUAAUUUAACUGUAUGAUUUUUUUAAUUACUUUAAUUUAAAUUGACAUAUUCAAAAUAAAAUUACGUAUGAAAAAUAGUGAUCAAAUUAUCCAAUAAAUAAAUAAAUAUAUAAUAUUCAAAAGAAUAAUGCUACUCUUACCAUAUUUGUAUACCAUAUCUUUAUACCAUCUUAUGUGACAGCUGAGAUGGACAGCCACAUCAAUUAAAAUUAUUAAAUAUCUUCUUUUCUUUUAUGAUUUAUUCCAGUAUUUGUUUUUCUAAUUGCCUUAAUUAAAAUCACUUCAUUGAUUUAAUUGAUGUGGCAUAUAAUAUGGACACAUUAUGUGGUAUAGAAAUGUGGGAUAAAAAUGUGGUAAGUGUAGCAUUACUCUAUUCAAAAUGUACCCAUAAAUUAACAAAGUACAAUUAUAAAAUUCUAAUACAAGCCUAUUGUGGUGGUAGUGGCGGAGGAUAUGUUUCAAUAGGGUCCUAAUCCUCAACUUUAGCGGUCAAAGUCUCGACGAUUCCCUACAAAAAAAUAAAUAUGGUCAAGUAACAAAAAAGAAAAAAAAAAUUGGCAUAAUCUCCCCUAAAAUUGUUAUACCACAAAUCCAACCCAAACUCCAAUCCUCACCCUAUACUCAACCCCAAACCCUACACAAACUCAAAACUAACUCCAAAAACACAUAUUAAUGAAAAAAAAAAAAAAUUUGGAGAGAAUAUACCUUUUGGCAAGAUUGAGAGUGAGUGAGAAUGAGAGAGAGAAGUGAAUGUGAGAGAGAGAGAGAGAGAUGAGAGAGUGAGUGAGAGUGGGAGAUAGUGAAGAGAAAGAUGAGAGAUUAAGUGAGAAGAGUGAGUGUGAGAGAAAGGGUGGGAUUUGGGGAGAGGGAAAGAGAGAGAGAGGUAAGAGUAGAGAAAGACAUUGAGAAAAUGGUGGAGAAGUUAUUUUGGUUUUAAAAACCGUAUCACUUUGCGCGAUGAAAAAUAUAUAUUGGUUGCACAAAGUUUUUCGCGACGAAAAAUAUUGGUCGCGCAAAGUUUUGUGUGGUGAAAAAAAUUGGUCGCUCAAAGUCUAAAAAAUUUUAUUUUUAAAAUUUUCCCACGUCCCAUUUUUGGUGCCCGCCCAAAUUUUUAAAGUUUUGCACGACGAAAAAUAUUCGAAUAUUGGUCGUACAAAGUUUUGCAUGACGAAAAGUAUUGGUCGCGCAAAGUCUUAAAUAAAAUAAAAUAAAAAAAAUCCCGCAUCCCAUUGUUUGUACCCGCCCAAAUUUUUAGAGUCUUGCGCGACAAAUUGUUGUCGUGCAAACUUUUGAGAGACGAAAAAUUGGUUCGUAGC
Molecule: long non-coding RNA, 1412 nt
Filed under: Prunus persica (peach)
Lineage: Eukaryota; Viridiplantae; Streptophyta; Magnoliopsida; Rosales; Rosaceae
Description: long non-coding RNA (PPER_LNC007301)
Source: RNAcentral